RNAcentral lists this ribosomal RNA (382 nucleotides) under uncultured bacterium. RNAcentral describes it as "bacterial SSU rRNA". It matches the Rfam family "Bacterial small subunit ribosomal RNA", at positions 28 to 412 of the family's 1533-position model. The record is from RNAcentral.
GACGAACGCUGGCGGCGUGCUUAACACAUGCAAGUCGAGCGGUAAGGCCCUUUCGGGGGUACACGAGCGGCGAACGGGUGAGUAACACGUGGGUGACCUGCCCUCAGCUCUGGGAUAAGCCUGGGAAACCGGGUCUAAUACCGGAUAUGACUCCAUGACGCAUGUUGUGGGGUGGAAAGCCUUGUGCGGCUGAGGAUGGGCCCGCGGCCUAUCAGCUUGUUGGUGGGGNGAUGGCCUACCAAGGCGACGACGGGUAGCCGGCCUGAGAGGGCGACCGGCCACACUGGGACUGAGACACGGCCCAGACUCCUACGGGAGGCAGCAGUGGGGAAUCUUGCGCAAUGGGCGAAAGCCUGACGCAGCGACGCCGCGUGAGGAUGAC